GGGGAAUAAUCUGCCAGCCGGCGCUCAUCUCCUCGGAGACAGCGGAUACCCCUCAAAGAGGUGGCUCCUGACACCCUACCUCAGACCACAACCCGGUCACCAGACAAAUUACAACAGAUCACAUAAGAGAACAAGAAGUUCAGUGGAGAGAGGAUUUGGUCAGCUGAAAAGAAGGUUCAGUGUCCUUCAUGGGGAGAUGAGACUUUCACCUGAGAGAGCAUGCAAAGUCAUCACUGCAUGUGCUGUACUGCAUAAUAUUUGCAAAACCAGGAAUAUUCCUCUUCCAAAUCUUGAUGGCAACCACAGGGUCAACCCUCCCCCACAAAAUGGACAACUAGUUCUGCCUGCACAGGGUAUCAUGGGAGUUCGAUACCGGGAACAGUUCGCAAUUACAAACUUUCCUUAGCAUGAAGUGGAUGAAGUGGCUGAGGCAGCUGAGGUUGUGGUGGGACCUGUUGAUAAAGCUGAGGUGACUGAGGUGAUGAACUUGGAAUAUGAAAUACCUGUGCUGGUUCACAAACUUGUUCACAAAAUCUGCAAUGGAUAAAGAAUGUGAAAUUGAAAUACAGAAUUAAUAAAAUAAUGAAGUG
Long non-coding RNA from Haliotis rubra (blacklip abalone), 590 nucleotides. RefSeq lists it as uncharacterized. The record is from RefSeq and is a predicted model, not a curated record. The transcript has 4 exons. NCBI's taxonomy places the organism in Eukaryota, Metazoa, Mollusca, Gastropoda, Lepetellida, Haliotidae.